Molecule: long non-coding RNA, 2813 nt
Filed under: Olea europaea (common olive)
Lineage: Eukaryota; Viridiplantae; Streptophyta; Magnoliopsida; Lamiales; Oleaceae
Description: long non-coding RNA (OEUR_LNC008452)
Source: RNAcentral
AAUACUAUCCACAUUAAUCCACUGUGAUACCAUCUUUAGUAAUCAUUAUAAUUUAGACUAAGUUUUUUAUCCGGUCUAACUCCGGGUGACCUAAUGUUGUGAUCAGAAUUUUGCAUUGGACAAGAUUAAGAAAACAUAGUCUUCUGCAGUACUGCAAAUUACUUGUGUGCACCAACAUGUUUACUUGUUGACAGUAAUCUCUUAUGGCAUGUUUGGUUGGUAGGAAAUUUUGGAUAGUGAUAAACGGCGUUAAAAUCUUACUCCCAGUACUUUUCAGAAUUGUUCAAUACUGUGGACCAUAACCAUGCAUUAAGAGCAUUUUUAAGAGACUCUUCAAACAUAAAGCAUAGAAAGUAUUUCAAUUCUCAAUGGUAGAAAAUAAUAUAAUAAUUUGGAGGGAAGCUAGUGAAAAUAAAAGAUAGGGAAAAAUAAUAAAUACCUUUUGAGAGUAGUAAAAUUAAGUAUUAAAGAUAAAAAAGCCUUUUGGAGUACUUUAAGAUUUUACUCUUUAAAUUUAUAGAUGCUCUUUGAAUUGUUAAAUGUGCUCUUUAAUAAUAAGGAGUCUAUUGGAGAUACUCGCGUAAACAGUUUUUGUUUGUUUUCUAUUUUCCAUGAGAACAAUUUGAUUAUGGCAUGUUUGAUGAGAUGGAUUGGCCUUGAUUGGAUGUUAAAUAACUAAUUUCGGUCAGAAUUAGUCAAAAUGAAUAAAUAGACUCUACUACGAUAUUAAAUAAAAUAUUCAAAAUAAUUAAAAAAUAAUCAAAACAUUUUGAAGAUCGCAUAACUCGGAAAAGUCCUUGAUCUAAGCAUAAAUAAUUAGAUUCGAAUUUCGAGGAUUGAAUAACAAAUAUUUUAUAAAGGAAUAUUGGCAAACUUACGGUCCGGGUAUGCAAACUUUAGGCAGCUGAAGCGAAUAUUCAUGAGUGCAAGAACCCACAACUAAAAGUGGGGAAUUGAUUUUAUCGAAUCAUUCUACAUCAGCAAAAAUCAUUAUCAAAGCACACAUGAAUAGAGGUAUAAAGCAUGACUUCAUAAUCAAUGAAUUAAAGACACAUAGGUUGGCAAACAAAACGUAAAUUACUAAUAGAAUCAGUUAGAAAUCAAUCAAUCAAUCAAUGGCUACCACAUAUCACUACCUAAAAAGACCCAUUAUCCCAAACUCUGAAUAGAAAUCUAUAAACAUGCAUUAUUGGGAUGAAGAAUGAAAUGCUGAAAUUGAAAUACCUUCUCCCCAAAUAUCCAUGUCUCCUCUCAAGCAGCAUAAUAAUGAGUUUAAGAGGGAAAAUUUCUAGUUAAGUGUGAGAAAUUUGUUGAUAAUCUUUUUGAGGUCAACACCUGACAUGAUUAAAUAAACUAAAAAUAUUAAAAAUCAUAGUAUUUUUAAGGUAUCGUCUACUACUGCAUAUCAAGCAUGCUCUUAGAUCAUAUGCAAGGUAGAAGUGCAUUGUAAGUUUAGUUCAAAUUUAGGUCCUUUUUUGUAUUUUGAAAACUGAUAUUUGAAGCAAUGAGUUGUUACGAAGUUAACUACGAAUAUCAUCUAAUGGAAUAUUUUCUUAUGAAUAUUCAGUGUGUUUGAGACAUAUUAUUUUGAAAGAAUGUAUUUUAGAAUAGUAGAUCGAUGGAGAAUGUGUGGUUAAAAAAUGAAGAAAAGUUUUGGAUUUGCGUAUACUAUUAUUUUAUUGAAGAAUGUGUAAUUGAAAUGAUAUCAAAUCACUAUCUAAGAAUAAAUUUUUUUGAAAGAAUGCGGCACAAACAGGGCUUAGCCCCUACUUGGCCCUUAUUUAGAAAACUCAUUUUCAACCAUAAGUUUAUUGGGACUCACAACUUUUACCAGCUUUUCAACUAUGCAUUUCAACUUUUUUCAAGAUCUACUAAAAAAUUGAUUUUUAGCUAAACCAAACGGGGCUUAAUUUCAUGGGAUCAUCAAUUCCCUGAGCAGCAACAUGCUUUUUCUGGAUGUGAAUAAUUGCAAUCUGAGCAUUUUCUACUAUGCUUGUAUUUCUCUUGUGCUGUCUUCUCUAAAGAAUGAGAACAGAAGGGCAGGGGAGAGAGAGCAGCAAGGGAACCUUUUUUUGGAAUUCAUUCACCCAGGUGGAGACUUGUAAUUGCAGAAACCAAUAAAUUGCUUGUUGAGUUAUGAGAAUAGUUCCACAGUGCAGUUGUCUGGCUUUUCUUGCACGUAAAUUAUGUUUAAUGUUAAUUAUGUUUUCUUAUUUUCUUGAAUUAUUUCUCAUAUAGUUUGAUUGUAAAAGAUAAAUUCCUUUCUAAAUGUAAACCUAUAAAUGGGGUCUUUCUUCUUAACUAGUAGAUAUAAUCUCUUGUUAAUUUUAUUGUUUUUUGUUCCCGUGGUUGUUAUUGUUAAUAAAGUGGUGAGACCAGUCUUCGUUAUAGACUCGUUUUGAGUGCCUAAAAUUUCAUAUUAGAGCAAUAUAUACAUGUAUAUAUAUUUUAUGCAUGAAUAUUAGGUUGUCAAGUGCUUGCUCUGUCAUCCAUGUGUGAUGGUGGCAGUACAUUAUGAUCUAUAUCUCCUGUCUGCGGUUUUCUACUUGCCUAACACGAAGUUAACUACGAAUAUCAUCUAAUGGAAUAUUUUCUUAUGAAUAUUCAGUGUGUUUGAGCCAUAUUAUUUUGAAAGAAUGUAUUUUAGAAUAGUAGAUCGAUGGAGAAUGUGUGGUUAAAAAAUGAAGAAAAGUUUUGGAUUUGCGUAUACUAUUAUUUUAUUGAAGAAUGUGUAAUUGAAAUGAUAUCAAAUCACUAUCUAAGAAUAAAUUUUUUUGAAAGAAUGCGGCACAAACAGGGCUUAGCCCCUACUU